RNAcentral lists this ribosomal RNA (254 nucleotides) under uncultured bacterium. Its description in RNAcentral is "partial 16S ribosomal RNA". It matches the Rfam family "Bacterial small subunit ribosomal RNA", at positions 524 to 776 of the family's 1533-position model. The record is from RNAcentral.
UACGGGGGGGGUAAGCGUUGUUCGGAAUUACUGGGCGGAAAGGGCGCGUAGGCGGCCAACUAAGUCAGACGUGAAAUCCCUCGGCUUAACCGGGGAACUGCGUCUGAUACUGGAUGGCUUGAGUUUGGGAGAGGGAUGCGGAAUUCCAGGUGUAGCGGUGAAAUGCGUAGAUAUCUGGAGGACCACCGGUGGCGAAGGCGGCAUCCUGGACCAACACUGACGCUGAGUGAGCGAAAGCCAGGGGAGCAAACGGG